Chanos chanos (milkfish) is the source of this 471-nucleotide non-coding RNA. Lineage: Eukaryota; Metazoa; Chordata; Actinopteri; Gonorynchiformes; Chanidae. The record is from the annotation of a RefSeq genome assembly.
AUGACUUUCAUCACCAUCUUCAUCUGGACACUGACUCUCUGUUUUCAUGAGUCCAGAGGACAGGUGACUGUGACUCAGACUCCUGAAGUGAAAUCUGCUCUUCCAGGGGACACAGUCACUAUUAACUGUAAAACUAGUCCUGCAGUGUUUUACUACACUGACAGUUCCUAUGGUCACUACAUGCAGUGGUACCAACACAAACCUGGACAGGCUCCUAAGCUCCUCAUUAAAUUUGCUAACCAGUUAGAGUCAGGAAUUCCAAAUCGUUUCAGUGGCAGUGGAUCUGGGACUGACUUCACCCUGACCAUCAGAGGAGUCCAGACUGAAGAUGCAGGAGAUUAUUAUUGUCAGAGUUACCAUCUCAUUAACGAAAAGAAGCGAAAUAGAGCCGGCUCAGAGUCAGAUCAUGGCUGUGCCCCACCUGCCUUUGUUAAAGGGCGUGAUGAAAAGUAUCAAAAACUAAGGAAUUAA